This 1415-nucleotide small RNA is filed under the name Arabidopsis thaliana (thale cress). RNAcentral's name for it is "ATSL202480". The record is from RNAcentral. Lineage: Eukaryota; Viridiplantae; Streptophyta; Magnoliopsida; Brassicales; Brassicaceae.
ACUAUGGUAUUUGAGUGAUAGGUCGAGUAACAGAUAGAAAGUAUAACAUCGAUACUCGACUGCACAGUCUGUUGCCAGGUAGUAACUAUGCAGUCGAGUGGUGGUGAUGGUGAUACUCGACUUCCAGGUACAGUGAUGAGGUCGUGUAGUGGUCUGGCAAUGAAGGUGAAGACACUCGACCUCGUGGUCGAGUGAUGUGAUCGAGUGAUGGUCAGGUGAUGGAGAUGAAGACGCUCGACCUCGUGGUCGAGUGGUGAGGUGAAGUUGUGAUGUCUUCUACUCGACCUGGGGGUCGAGUGGUCGAGUGGUGAGGUGAAGUUGUGAUGUCUUCUACUCGACCUGGGGGUCGAGUGGUCUCUUGAGAUCUUGAAGCUCCUACUCGACCUCUGGGUCGAGUGGUUUUGUCAUGAUCAGGUCCGCUUCUUCCAGAUAGCUCGUCAACAGCUCCAAAUCACCUGAAAUCAACGCAAAUAUGCAACAUGCAUGCAAAUCUAUCCUAAACAUGUAAAGUGAUGACAAAUGAUGAGAAAUGGUAUAAAACAGUGAUGAUAUGAUGCUAAAGUGAUGACAAAUGGAUGCUCAAAACAUGCAAAAUACACACUUAUCAACUCCCCCAAACUUAGUCUUUGCUUGCCCUCAAGCAAACAAUCAAGAACAAGCUGGAGGUGAGGUUUGAAAGCGGGGACUCAGAGCCAAAGCACCAGAUAAACCAGAUGAAAUCAAUAUCCAAGUUGAAAGUUCUAAGCUGCAAGAUCGAAUUCUACUUAAAAACGUUAGCCAUGCCUCAUCAUCAAUCAAUCCGACUCAUAUGCUCGACCUACACAAGUUUUCAAAUCUACCAAUCCCUUUAACAUUCAUUAGUUCUGGAACGUGAAUCAAGCAAUGCAUCAUCAAAGAACUCAUUUGGCUAAGGUAAAAGGUCAAGAGACAAAGAUGGUCCCUCACAGAAUAGGCUUCACUAACAGGGGAUCUCUCAAAAAAUGAUUAAGCUUUAGUAGAAUGCUAAAGGUAAGUCCCAAGCUAUGCAUACAGAGAUAAGAUCCCAUCUACCCAGAGUACAUCAAAUGAAGCUCUAACGGUAAUUCCACCUCCAAUCCCAAUAUAAGAACUAAACUCUACCCUUUGCAUUCAUGAAUCUUUUAAGCCAUUUUUCUAAUCAUUCUUUUCUAUUCUCUUAACUCUAGGAGAAGCUUUCUCAACACUUUGAUACAUCUAGCGGAUUUGGAUUUCUUUAACAACUAAGGUUCCUGUUUUUAACAUUUUAAAACCCAGGGCUUUUGCCCAUCUUCAAUAGCUAACAAGAACUCUUUCUUUUCUUUUCAAAUCCCAAAACCUUUACUAGACUUUUUCUGCUUCUUUAGCUUACUUCACCUAGAGUCUUUUACCUUUUCUUAUCAAUGAAUCAACCCCUUUUU